RNAcentral lists this ribosomal RNA (496 nucleotides) under uncultured bacterium. RNAcentral's name for it is "partial 16S ribosomal RNA". It matches the Rfam family "Bacterial small subunit ribosomal RNA", at positions 28 to 507 of the family's 1533-position model. The record is from RNAcentral.
GAUGAACGCUGGCGGCGUGCCUAAUACAUGCAAGUCGAGCGAACAGACGAGGAGCUUGCUCCUCUGACGUUAGCGGCGGACGGGUGAGUAACACGUGGAUAACCUACCUAUAAGACUGGGAUAACUUCGGGAAACCGGAGCUAAUACCGGAUAAUAUAUUGAACCGCAUGGUUCAAUAGUGAAAGACGGUUUUGCUGUCACUUAUAGAUGGAUCCGCGCCGCAUUAGCUAGUUGGUAAGAUAACGGCUUACCAAGGCAACGAUGCGUAGCCGACCUGAGAGGGUGAUCGGCCACACUGGAACUGAGACAGGGUCCAAACCCCUACGGAAGGCAGCAGUAGGGAAUCUCCGCAAUGGGCGAAAGCCUGACGGAGCAACGCCGCGUGAGUGAUGAAGGUCUUCGGAUCGUAAAACUCUGUUAUUAGGGAAGAACAAAUGUGUAAGUAACUAUGCACGUCUUGACGGUACCUAAUCAGAAAGCCACGGCUAACUACGUG